RNAcentral lists this ribosomal RNA (208 nucleotides) under uncultured bacterium. Its description in RNAcentral is "partial 16S ribosomal RNA". It matches the Rfam family "Bacterial small subunit ribosomal RNA", at positions 568 to 775 of the family's 1533-position model. The record is from RNAcentral.
AGCGCAGGCGGACUUGUGUGUCGGACGUGAAAUACCGGGGCUUAACCCCGGUGCUGCGUCCGAAACUACGAGUCUAGAGACUUGGAGGGGUAAGCGGAAUUCUUGGUGGAGCAGUGAAAUGCGUAGAUAUCAAGAGGAACACCAACGGCGAAGGCAGCUUACUGGACAAGAUCUGACGCUCAGGCUCGAAAGCGUGGGGAGCAAAAGG